CCUACGGGAGGCAGCAGUGGGGAAUAUUGGGCAAUGGGCGAAAGCCUGACCCAGCAACGCCGCGUGAAGGAAGAAGGCUUUCGGGUUGUAAACUUCUUUUGACAGGGAAGAGCAGAAGACGGUACCUGUCGAAUAAUCCACGGCUAACUACGUGCCAGCAGCCGCGGUAGUACGUAGGUGGCAAGCGUUGUCCGGAUUUACUGGGUGUAAAGGGCGUGUAGCCGGGCUGACAAGGCAGAGGUGUAAUCCGCGCGCGCAACCCCCGCAGUGCAUUUGAAACUGUGGGUCUUGAGUAUACGUGGGGUACAGGGAAUUCGUGGUGUAGCGGUGAAAUGCGUAGAGAUAA
This 346-nucleotide ribosomal RNA is filed under the name uncultured bacterium. RNAcentral's name for it is "partial 16S ribosomal RNA". It matches the Rfam family "Bacterial small subunit ribosomal RNA", at positions 338 to 699 of the family's 1533-position model. The record is from RNAcentral.